RNAcentral lists this unclassified non-coding RNA (376 nucleotides) under Lasianthus stipularis. RNAcentral's name for it is "partial external transcribed spacer". The record is from RNAcentral. Lineage: Eukaryota; Viridiplantae; Streptophyta; Magnoliopsida; Gentianales; Rubiaceae.
ACCGAGGAUCAUUCAGUUGGGACAAAAAUCACUAGUUACGGGCAAAGACGAAACGUUGCCAUCGUACCCAUUGCACAUUCCGUAUCCGAGAGCUCAAGCGAGCGUUCAUGGGCCAAAACAACUACAAUCGAAAUUCGAGUUACGUGGGACACGAACGACGCUUCAAGGUUCACCGCGUCGAAAGCCCGUAGCAAAACGGGCGGACGCCGAGCGAAUGAUACGCGAUUUUGGCAGCAAAAUUCCAUAUCGUAGGCAUGCAACACAGGAAACCAUUAAAAUUGGCGGCCAAGGCAAGGUGCUCUUGUACCAUUACAUGAAGAGGAAUGCACGGCUAGCCGUCACUGCCACAACAAUGAUCCAACCAACCCAUACAAGA